This 848-nucleotide ribosomal RNA is filed under the name uncultured Planctomycetota bacterium. RNAcentral's name for it is "bacterial SSU rRNA". It matches the Rfam family "Bacterial small subunit ribosomal RNA", at positions 8 to 871 of the family's 1533-position model. Lineage: Bacteria; Pseudomonadati; Planctomycetota. The record is from RNAcentral.
AGAGUUUGAUCCUGGCUCAGAAUGAACGUUGGCGGCGUGGAUUAGGCAUGCAAGUCGAGCGAGAAUUCUUAAGAAGAUACUUCGGUUGAUUCUUAGGAAGGACAGCGGCGAAAGGGAGAGUAACGAGUAGAUUACGUGCCCAAGGGUUCGGGAUAGCCAUGCGAAAGCGUGAGUAACACCGAAUAAUGUCUCCGGACCAAAAAUUUAUUGCCCUUGGAGCGGUCUGCUUACUAUUAGCUUGUUGGUGGGGUAACGGCCUACCAAGGCUAAGAUGGUUAGCGGGUGUGAGAGCAUGGCCCGUCUCACUGGGACUGAGAUACUGCCCAGACACCUACGGGUGGCUGCAGUCGAGAAUCUUCCGCAAUGGACGAAAGUCUGACGGAGCGACGCCGCGUGAUGGACGAAGGCCCUCGGGUUGUAAACAUCUGUCGUAGGGGAGGCAAUUUUGACCGAUCCUAGGAGGAAGCACAGGCUAAGUUCGUGCCAGCAGCCGCGGUAAUACGAACUGUGCGAACGUUAUUCGGAAUCACUGGGCUUAAAGGGUGCGUAGGCGGGUUAGUAGGUCAGAUGUGAAAGCCCACGGCUCAACCGUGGAAUUGCGUUUGAAACCACUAGUCUUGAGGGGAUCAGAGGAGAGCGGAACUGAUGGUGGAGCGGUGAAAUGCGUUGAUAUCAUCAGGAACACCGGUGGCGAAAGCGGCUCUCUGGGAUCCUUCUGACGCUGAGGCACGAAAGCUAGGGGAGCGAACGGGAUUAGAUACCCCGGUAGUCCUAGCUGUAAACGAUCUGUACUAGUCCGUGGGGACUCCCACAUCUUCUCGGACGUAGCGAAAGUGUUAAGUACAGCG